RNAcentral lists this ribosomal RNA (442 nucleotides) under uncultured bacterium. RNAcentral's name for it is "partial 16S ribosomal RNA". It matches the Rfam family "Bacterial small subunit ribosomal RNA", at positions 338 to 795 of the family's 1533-position model. The record is from RNAcentral.
CCUACGGGAGGCAGCAGUGGGGGAUAUUGCACAAUGGGGGAAACCCUGAUGCAGUGACGCCGCGUGGGCGAAGAAGUAUUUCGGUAUGUAAAGCCCUAUCAGCAGGGAAGAAGAAAUGACGGUACCUGAGUAAGAAGCACCGGCUAAAUACGUGCCAGCAGCCGCGGUAAUACGUAUGGUGCAAGCGUUAUCCGGAUUUACUGGGUGUAAAGGGAGCGCAGGCGGGACGGCAAGCCUGAUGUGAAAGCCAGCGGCCCAACCGCGGGACUGCAUUGGGAACUAACGGGCUGGAGUGCGGGGGAGGCAGGCGGAAUUCGUGGUGUAGCGGUGAAAUGCGUAGAUAUUAGGAGGAACACCAGUGGCGAAGGCGGCCUACUGGACGGUGACUGACGCUGAGGCUCGAAAGCGUGGGGAGCGAACAGGAUUAGAUACCCGUGUAGUC